UGCAGUCUCUGCAAUAAAUUGCAUAUAUUAAUCAGAUUUUAGGUAUCCAAUAUCCAGAUAAUAGUAUCACAAAUAGAGAAAUUACAAGAAGUUAUCAUAUAAGUAUCUUGUGAAGCAACCGUUUGCUUCUUUCUCUUGUUCUUAGACCUAUUUGGGUCAAGGGUGACUAUAUAAGUAGGAUAAUUCCUUUUUUAAUGACCCAUCUUCUUACAGAAAAAGUAUUUUGCUUGGCUCUUGUCAACUUUUGAUAAUUUACUCUGCUUAGGAUCGACAGCAC
This 277-nucleotide long non-coding RNA is filed under the name Elaeis guineensis (African oil palm). Its description in RNAcentral is "long non-coding RNA (EGUI_LNC038723)". The record is from RNAcentral. Lineage: Eukaryota; Viridiplantae; Streptophyta; Magnoliopsida; Arecales; Arecaceae.